AUUGAACGCUGGCGGCAUGCCUUACACAUGCAAGUCGAACGGCAGCACGGGAGCUUGCUCCUGGUGGCGAGUGGCGAACGGGUGAGUAAUACAUCGGAACGUACCCAGUAGUGGGGGAUAACGCACCGAAAGGUGCGCUAAUACCGCAUACGACCUACGGGUGAAAGCGGGGGACCGUAAGGCCUCGCGAUAUUGGAGCGGCCGAUGUCUGAUUAGCUAGUUGGUGAGGUAAAGGCUCACAAAGGCUUCGAUCAGUAGCUGGUCUGAGAGGACGAUCAGCAUCGCUGGGACUGCGGCACGGCCCAGGCUCCAACGGGAGGCGGCAAGGGGGAAUUUUGUACAAGGGGCGAAAGCCUGAUCCAGCAAGGCCGCGUGUGCGAAGAAGGCCUUCGGGUUGUAAAGCACUUUUGUCAGGGAAGAAAUCUUUUAGGCUAAUACCCUGGAAGGAUGACGGUACCUGAAGAAUAAGCACCGGCUAACUACGUGCCAGCCGCCGCAGUAA
Molecule: ribosomal RNA, 502 nt
Filed under: uncultured bacterium
Lineage: Bacteria
Description: partial 16S ribosomal RNA
Rfam family: Bacterial small subunit ribosomal RNA
Source: RNAcentral